UACGAAGGGGGCUAGCGUUGCUCGGAAUUACUGGGCGUAAAGCGUGCGUAGGUGGUUUUUUAAGUCCGUUGUGAAAGCCCUGGGCUCAACCUGGGAAUGGCAGUGGAUACUGGAAAGCUAGAGUGCGGUAGAGGGUAGUGGAAUUCCCGGUGUAGCAGUGAAAUGCGUAGAGAUCGGGAGGAACACCAGUGGCGAAGGCGGCUACCUGGACCAGCACUGACACUGAGGCACGAAAGCGUGGGGAGCAAACAGG
RNAcentral lists this ribosomal RNA (253 nucleotides) under uncultured bacterium. Its description in RNAcentral is "partial 16S ribosomal RNA". It matches the Rfam family "Bacterial small subunit ribosomal RNA", at positions 524 to 776 of the family's 1533-position model. The record is from RNAcentral.